This 563-nucleotide ribosomal RNA is filed under the name uncultured Flavobacteriia bacterium. RNAcentral's name for it is "bacterial SSU rRNA". It matches the Rfam family "Bacterial small subunit ribosomal RNA", at positions 8 to 570 of the family's 1533-position model. Lineage: Bacteria; Pseudomonadati; Bacteroidota; Flavobacteriia. The record is from RNAcentral.
AGAGUUUGAUCCUGGCUCAGGAUGAACGCUAGCGGCAGGCUUAACACAUGCAAGUCGAGGGGUAGAAGCAGCUUGCUGCUUUGAGACCGGCGCACGGGUGCGCAACGCGUAUACAAUCUACCUUUUACAGAGGGAUAGCCCAGAGAAAUUUGGAUUAAUACCUCAUAGUAUUUUCGAAUCGCAUGGUUUGAUUAUUAAAGUUCCAACGGUAAAAGAUGAGUAUGCGUCCCAUUAGCUAGAUGGUAAGGUAACGGCUUACCAUGGCAACGAUGGGUAGGGGUCCUGAGAGGGAGAUCCCCCACACUGGUACUGAGACACGGACCAGACUCCUACGGGAGGCAGCAGUGAGGAAUAUUGGACAAUGGGCGCAAGCCUGAUCCAGCCAUGCCGCGUGCAGGAAGACGGUCCUAUGGAUUGUAAACUGCUUUUGUACAGGAAGAAACACUGGUUCGUGAACCAGCUUGACGGUACUGUAAGAAUAAGGAUCGGCUAACUCCGUGCCAGCAGCCGCGGUAAUACGGAGGAUCCAAGCGUUAUCCGGAAUCCUUGGGUUUAAAGGGUCC